This 257-nucleotide ribosomal RNA is filed under the name uncultured prokaryote. RNAcentral's name for it is "partial 16S ribosomal RNA". It matches the Rfam family "Bacterial small subunit ribosomal RNA", at positions 524 to 780 of the family's 1533-position model. The record is from RNAcentral.
UACGUAGGUGGCAAGCGUUAUCCGGAAUUAUUGGGCGUAAAGAGCGCGCAGGUGGCUGAUUAAGUCUGAUGUGAAAGCCCACGGCUUAACCGUGGAGGGUCAUUGGAAACUGGUCGACUUGAGUGCAGAAGAGGGAAGUGGAAUUCCAUGUGUAGCGGUGAAAUGCGUAGAGAUAUGGAGGAACACCAGUGGCGAAGGCGGCUUCCUGGUCUGCAACUGACACUGAGGCGCGAAAGCGUGGGGAGCAAACAGGAUUA